ACGGCUCAGUAACACGUGGACAACCUACCCUGAAGAGGGGGAUAACCCCGGGAAACUGGGGAUAAUACCCCAUAGGCUAUGGAUGCUGGAAUGCUCUGUAGUUGAAAGGUUCGCCGCUUCAGGAUGGGUCUGCGGCCGAUUAGGUUGUUGUUGGGGUAACGGCCCAACAAGCCUGUAAUCGGUACGGGUUGUGGGAGCAAGAGCCCGGAGAUGGAUUCUGAGACACGAAUCCAGGCCCUACGGGGCGCAGCAGGCGCGAAAACUUUGCAAUGCGAGCAAUCGUGACAAGGGAACUCCGAGUGCCUGUAAAAUCAGGCUGUCCGCCAGUGUAAAUAACUGGCGAAGAAAGGGCCGGGCAAGACCGGUGCCAGCCGCCGCGGUAAUACCGGCGGCUCGAGUGGUGGCCACUAUUACUGGGCUUAAAGCGUUCGUAGCUGGCUUGUUAAGUCUCUGGGGAAAUCUUCCGGCUUAACCGGAAGGCGUCUCAGGGAUACUGGCAGGCUAGGGACCGGAAGAGGUGAGAGGUACUCCAGGGGUAGGAGUGAAAUCCUGUAAUCCUUGGGGGACCACCUGUGGCGAAGGCGUCUCACCAGAACGGCUCCGACAGUGAGGAACGAAAGCUGGGGGAGCAAACCGGAUUAGAUACCCGGGUAGUCCCAGCUGUAAACGAUGCGCGUUAGGUGUAUCGGUGACCACGAGUCACCGAGGUGCCGAAGAGAAAUCGUGAAACGUGCCGCCUGGGAAGUACGGUCGCAAGGCUGAAACUUAAAGGAAUUGGCGGGGGAGCAC
This 789-nucleotide ribosomal RNA is filed under the name uncultured archaeon. RNAcentral describes it as "bacterial SSU rRNA". It matches the Rfam family "Archaeal small subunit ribosomal RNA", at positions 85 to 879 of the family's 1478-position model. The record is from RNAcentral.